ACGGUCCUAAGGUAGCGAAAUUCCUUGUCGGGUAAGUUCCGACCCGCACGAAAGGCGUAAUGAUUUGAGCGCUGUCUCGACAAUGCAUCCGGUGAAAUUGAAGUACCAGUGAAGAUGCUGGUUACCUGCGCCAGGACGGAAAGACCCCAUGGAGCUUUACUCCAGCUUGAUACUGGGAUUCGGUAUUGCAUGUACAGGAUAGGUGGGAGGCUAGGAAAUGGUAACGCCAGUUGCCAUGGAGCCAAUGUUGGGAUACCACCCUUGCAGUACUGGGUUUCUAACCAGCAGCCGUGAUCCGGCUGGGGGACAAUGUCAGGUGGGGAGUUUGACUGGGGCGGUCGCCUCCGAAAGGGUAUCGGAGGCGCUCAAAGGUUCCCUCAGAAUGGUCGGAAACCAUUCGAAGAGUGCAAAGGCAGAAGGGAGCUUGACUGCGACACCGACGGGUGGAGCAGGUACGAAAGUAGGACUUAGUGAUCCGGUGGUAUAAAGUGGGAUUGCCAUCGCUCAACGGAUAAAAGCUACCCUGGGGAUAACAGGCUUAUCACUCCCAAGAGUUCACAUCGACGGAGUGGUUUGGCACCUCGAUGUCGGCUCAUCGCAUCCUGGGGCUGUAGUAGGUCCCAAGGGUUGGGCUGUUCGCCCAUUAAAGCGGUACGCGAGCUGGGUUCAGAACGUCGUGAGACAGUUCGGUCCCUAUCUGUCGUGGGCGUAGGAUAUUUGCAAGGAGCUGUCCCUAGUACGAGAGGACCGGGAUGGACGCACCUCUGGUGCACCAGUUGUCACGCCAGUGGCACAGCUGGGCAGCUAUGUGCGGAACGGAUAAACGCUGAAGGCAUCUAAGCGUGAAGCCGCCCUUAAGAUAAGAUAUCCCUUCUGUUUACAGAGUAAGACCCCUUGAAGACUACAAGGUUGAUAGGCUCAAAGUGUAAGCACGGUGACGUGUUUAGCUAGCGAGUACUAAUCGGUCGAGGGCUUAACCUU
RNAcentral lists this ribosomal RNA (981 nucleotides) under human gut metagenome. RNAcentral's name for it is "bacterial LSU rRNA". It matches the Rfam family "Bacterial large subunit ribosomal RNA", at positions 1945 to 2925 of the family's 2925-position model. The record is from RNAcentral.